This 911-nucleotide ribosomal RNA is filed under the name uncultured bacterium. Its description in RNAcentral is "bacterial SSU rRNA". It matches the Rfam family "Bacterial small subunit ribosomal RNA", at positions 10 to 882 of the family's 1533-position model. The record is from RNAcentral.
AGUUUGAUCCUGGCUCAGGAUGAACGCUGGCGGCGUGCCUAAUACAUGCAAGUCGAACGCGCUGUGGCAAUUAUUGAGAAGCUUGCUUCAAUUUAAUUGCAAUGCAGCGAGUGGCGAACGGGUGAGUAACACGUGGGAAACCUACCUCUUAGCAGGGGAUAACAUUUGGAAACAGAUGCUAAUACCGUAUAACAACUUUUAUCGCAUGAUAAAAGUUUAAAAGAUGGUUCUGCUAUCACUAAGAGAUGGUCCCGCGGUGUAUUAGCUAGAUGGUGAGGUAAUGGCUCACCAUGGCGAUGAUACAUAGCCGAGUUGAGAGACUGAUCGGCCACAUUGGAACUGAGACACGGUCCAAACUCCUACGGGAGGCAGCAGUAGGGAAUCUUCCACAAUGGACGAAAGUCUGAUGGAGCAACGCCGCGUGUGUGAUGAAGGGUUUCGGCUCGUAAAACACUGUUAUAAGAGAAGAACGUCAGUGAGAGUAACUGUUCAUUGAGUGACGGUAUCUUAUCAGAAAGGGACGGCUAAAUACGUGCCAGCAGCCGCGGUAAUACGUAUGUCCCAAGCGUUAUCCGGAUUUAUUGGGCGUAAAGCGAGCGCAGGCGGUUAUUUAAGUCUGAUGUGAAAGCCUACGGCUCAACCGUAGAAUUGCAUCGGAAACUGGAUGACUUGAGUGCAGUAGAGGAGAGUGGAACUCCAUGUGUAGCGGUGAAAUGCGUAGAUAUAUGGAAGAACACCAGAGGCGAAGGCGGCUCUCUGGACUGUAACUGACGCUGAGGCUCGAAAGUGUGGGUAGCAAACAGGAUUAGAUACCCUGGUAGUCCACACCGUAAACGAUGAAUGCUAGUUGUUAGAGGGUUUCCGCCCUUUAGUGACGCGGCUAACGCAUUAAGCAUUCCGCCUGGGGAGUA